Molecule: ribosomal RNA, 460 nt
Filed under: uncultured bacterium
Lineage: Bacteria
Description: partial 16S ribosomal RNA
Rfam family: Bacterial small subunit ribosomal RNA
Source: RNAcentral
CCUACGGGGGGCAGCAGUGAGGAAUAUUGGUCAAUGGACGAGAGUCUGAACCAGCCAAGUAGCGUGAAGGAUGACUGCCCUAUGGGUUGUAAACUUCUUAUAUAUGGGAAUAAAAUGUUCCACGUGUGGGAUUUUGUAUGUACCAUAUGAAUAAGGAUCGGCUAAUUCCGUGCCAGCAGCCGCGGUAAUACGGAGUAUCCGAGCGUUAUCCGGAUUUAUUGGGUUUAAAGGGAGCGUAGGUGGAUUGUUAAGUCAGUUGUGAAAGUUUGCGGCUCAACCGUAAAAUUGCAGUUGAAACUGGCAGUCUUGAGUACAGUAGAGGUAGGCGGAAUUCGUGGUGUAGCGGUGAAAUGCUUAGAUAUCACGAAGAACUCCGAUUGCGAAGGCAGCUCACUGGACUGCAACUGACACUGAGGCUCGAAAGUGUGGGGAUCAAACAGGAUUAGAUACCCGAGUAGUC